GUUGAUACUAGCCCUAGGCCCUACAAACUGUAUGUCUACUUUGCUAGAACCCUCUCUAGCUUCUAUCACAUUAAUAUUGCGAACAACCUCUCGAAGCUCUGAUUCAAAUCCCUGUCCAUCCUAAUCAAUGGUCCGAGAAUUUUCGGGACCAAUGACCUCAUGGCACUUGCUUUAACAAAGGAUCUGGAAAGGCGCUGAACUGGCUUGGGAAGAACACAAACUUUUUUCUUCAUUUUCUUAGCUCGCUUUACAUCUGUCGCAGUAGGUUUGAACCCCAGUCCAAAG
RNAcentral lists this long non-coding RNA (285 nucleotides) under Nicotiana benthamiana. Its description in RNAcentral is "long non-coding RNA (NBEN_LNC031925)". Lineage: Eukaryota; Viridiplantae; Streptophyta; Magnoliopsida; Solanales; Solanaceae. The record is from RNAcentral.